RNAcentral lists this ribosomal RNA (403 nucleotides) under uncultured bacterium. Its description in RNAcentral is "partial 16S ribosomal RNA". It matches the Rfam family "Bacterial small subunit ribosomal RNA", at positions 30 to 526 of the family's 1533-position model. The record is from RNAcentral.
AUUGAACGCUGGCGGCAGGCCUAACACAUGCAAGUCGAGCGAGCGGCGGACGGGUGAUGAAUGUAUGGGGACUGCCAGAUCGAGGGGGAUAAGUACUGGAAACGGUAACUAAUACCGAAUAUUCACGGAUAACCCAUAUGGGAUUAGCUCGUAGGGUAGGUAAUGGCUCACCUAGGCGACGAUCCCUAGCUGGGCUGAGAGGAUGAUCAGCCACACGAGGAAGGAGACACGGCACAGACUCCUACGGAGGCAGCAGUGGGGAAUAUUGCACAAUGGGCGCAAGCCUGAGGCUGCCAUGCCGGGUGUAUGAAGAAGGCCCUAGGGUUGUAAAGUACUUUCAGUCGGGAGGCGUUACCGAAAGAAUAAGCACCGGCUAACUCCGUGCCAGCAGCCGCGGUAAUUC